UGGGGAAUUUUGGACAAUGGGCGCAAGCCUGAUCCAGCCAUGCCGCGUGAGUGAAGAAGGCCUUCGGGUUGUAAAGCUCUUUCAGUAGGAACGAAACGAUAGGCUCUAACAUAGCCUGUUACUGACGGUACCUACACAAGAAGCACCGGCUAACUACGUGCCAGCAGCCGCGGUAAUACGUAGGGUGCGAGCGUUAAUCGGAAUUACUGGGCGUAAAGCGUGCGCAGGCGGUUUCUUAAGCCUGAUGUGAAAGCCCCGGGCUUAACCUGGGAAUUGCGUUUGGCACUGAGAGACUAGAGUGUGGCAGAGGGAGGUAGAAUUCCACGUGUAGCAGUGAAAUGCGUAGAGAUGUAGAGGAAUACCGAUGGCGAAGGCAGCCUCCUGGGCGAACACUGACGCUCAUGCACGAAAGCGUGGGGAGCAAACAG
This 428-nucleotide ribosomal RNA is filed under the name uncultured bacterium. RNAcentral's name for it is "bacterial SSU rRNA". It matches the Rfam family "Bacterial small subunit ribosomal RNA", at positions 355 to 775 of the family's 1533-position model. The record is from RNAcentral.